UCUCUCUCUUUCUACUUUCUUGAUUUCUUGCGGACCAAUGAAGGAUCCAAGUACAUAGUGGGUUUGGGUUGAUGCUGGUAGAGUCCUCAAUUGGCCAUCACUAUGCAAUUAGGGGUCCCAAGCUAGUAUUAUACAACCAUCUAUCUUAUUUGGAUCUUGGACAUUUAUGAUUGUUUUGAUGACGAAGCCUGGCUCUAUAGGUAAACAAUUUUCUGGGUA
RNAcentral lists this long non-coding RNA (219 nucleotides) under Elaeis guineensis (African oil palm). RNAcentral describes it as "long non-coding RNA (EGUI_LNC016714)". The record is from RNAcentral. Lineage: Eukaryota; Viridiplantae; Streptophyta; Magnoliopsida; Arecales; Arecaceae.